Molecule: long non-coding RNA, 1322 nt
Filed under: Salmo salar (Atlantic salmon)
Lineage: Eukaryota; Metazoa; Chordata; Actinopteri; Salmoniformes; Salmonidae
Description: lncRNA (ENSSSAG00000103722.1)
Source: RNAcentral
CUGUUAUUGAUUUAUUUAUUAAGACUUUUACUUUAUUUAUUUAAGCAGUCCAAUUGAGACCAAGGACUAUUUUGCAACUCAAAAUUACACCAAAAUCACAAUCCGAGCAGCAUAGAAAAUACAAAAAAUAUAUAUAAUAACAAAAUAACAUUAACAACAACCACAUUCCUCAGUAAAGAAGUCCUAAGCCAACAUUCUGAGUUGCUGCUGAUGUCGCCAUAGUCGCCAUAGGACCAGAAGAAACGGAGGAGAGGAAACAUGGCAACAAAUGCGCUGAAAUUAGACAUUCCUUCUCCACUAGCGUAUCAGUCAAAUUACAUUUCCCUGGAAGGGUUCAGAAGGUGAGGGGUCAGGGGUCAACAUCGGGAGACUAGGCUGCUCCCGAGGGAGGUGGUGGCAGCCUUCUCUCUCUCCUGCAAGAGAGAGAGAGAGAGAGAGAGAGAGAGCGAGAGAGCGAGAGAGAGCGAGCGAGAGAGGCAGGGGUGGUGUAUGAUUUCAGAAAACACAGCAGUCGUCAUCUAAGCUCUCAGCAAUAGGACUUAUAUCUUCAUCUGAGCUCUCAGCAAUAGGACUUCUAUCUUCAUCUGAGCUCUCAGCAAUAGGACAUACAUCUUCAUCUGAGUUCUCAUCUUCAUCAGAGUCAUCAAAAAUAGCCCCUUCUCCCAGAAUCAGCUUGUGAUGCAGGGACAAAGCCUCCAGAGUUCCCACUGCUCUUUGUAGGCUCCCCCAGCGCUUCCAGUUCCCACUGCUCUUUGUAGGCUCUCCCAGUCCCUCUUCAUCUCCUGCACCAGGAUCUUCUCUUCCUCCUGCAGUCUGUUCAGCAACGUCCGUCUGUCCAAGAUUGCCUUUUUGAUUGCAAGAUGGCUGUUGCCUGUGAGAUGUAAACUCACAGAGGUAUAUAACAGAACAACAGCAAUGACUGCAGCCUACGCUGAAGGAAAUGGCUUCCUGGAUUCCCCCAAGCAGCUGAUUGGCCGGCACCCAUUGCCGAUUGGAGUUCUGAUCCCGCCCUCUCGUUAGGGGAUACAGCUGUCGGCAAUUACCGACUCCUUCCUAGCUUUAAAAGCCAUUGUUCCUUUGUUAGGAAGAGAGCUUCUUGGUAUGUUCUGUUGUUGGUCUGUAUAAGUUUUGUAAAGUAUUUUGUAGCCGGUCCUGCAGGUGUAUGCCAUAGGACUGUUUUUGAUUAGGGAAAUUGUUCACUGUACAGUUGUAAUUAUUCUGUUUUUGUUCCCAGGGGGGCACCUUGGGAGUUCUUAGGCAAGAGGCCUGCGGGCAUACAUAUACCUGUAGCAUUUACUAUGUCUAUGCACAUUAGGUAAGAC